GGAAAAGAAACUUACCAAGGAUUCCCCUAGUAACGGCGAGUGAAGCGGGAUGAGCUCAAAUUUAAAAUCUGGCUGGUUUACUAGUCCGAAUUGUAGUUUAUAGAAGCGUUUUCGGUGGCAGCCUGGGUAUAAAUCCUUUGGAAUAGGGUAUCAUAGAGGGUGAGAAUCCCGUCUUUGACUCAGUGCAUGCUACUAUGUGAUACGUUUUCAAAGAGUCGAGUUGUUUGGGAAUGCAGCUCAAAAUGGGUGGUAAAUUUCAUCUAAAGCUAAAUAUUGGCGAGAGACCGAUAGCGAACAAGUACCGUGAGGGAAAGAUGAAAAGAACUUUGAAAAGAGAGUUAAACAGUGCGUGAAAUUGUUGAAAGGGAAACGUUUGACACCAGUUAUGCGGGUGGAAAAUCAGUCUUUUGCAAUGGGGAGUUGUGGGCGUUCAGACCGCAAGGCUGGCGUUUGCUUCAUCUUUGUUGUAAGUGAUGCACUUUUUCAUUUGCAGGUCAACAUCAGUUUGCUUUGCUGGACAAAACCCCAAGGGAAGGUGACAGCUUAGGCUGUGUUAUAGCCCUGGGGCGAUACAGUGGAGUGGACUGAGGUUUCGCAGUGUGUGCUCUCGGGCAAGGCUGACUGGGUGCUAUGGGAUCGUUCGGCGUACAAUGCAUGCAUUUUGCGUCGUGUCUUUUUCAUACUCGCUCAACUCGGCUCUUCCACACUUAGGAUGUUGACUUAAUGGUUUUAAACGACCCGUCUUGAAACACGGACCAAGGAGUCUAACAUAUAUGCAAGUGUUUGGGUGGCAAACCCAUGCGCGUAAUGAAAGUGAACGUAGGUGCGAUCCGCAAGGUGCAGCAUCGACCGAUCUUGAUAUUUUUGGAUAGAUUUGAGUAAGAGCAUAUAUGCUGGGACCCGAAAGAUGGUGAACUAUGCCUGAAUAGGGUGAAGCCAGAGGAAACUCUGGUGGAGGCUCGUAGCGAUUCUGACGUGCAAAUCGAUCGUCAAAUUUGGGU
RNAcentral lists this ribosomal RNA (1001 nucleotides) under Mortierella sp. MEL 2385004. Its description in RNAcentral is "LSU rRNA". It matches the Rfam family "Eukaryotic large subunit ribosomal RNA", at positions 55 to 916 of the family's 3401-position model. The record is from RNAcentral. Lineage: Eukaryota; Fungi; Mortierellomycota; Mortierellomycetes; Mortierellales; Mortierellaceae.